UACGUAGGAUGCAAGCGUUGUCCGGAAUUAUUGGGCGUAAAGAGUUCGUAGGCGGUUGCCUAAGUCUGGUGUUAAAUACAGGAGCUCAACUCCUGCAUGGCACUGGAAACUGGGCGGCUAGAGUGUGGUAGAGGUCACGGGAAUUCCAGGUGUAGCGGUGAAAUGCGUAGAUAUCUGGAGGAACACCAGUGGCGAAAGCGCGUGACUGGGCCACAACUGACGCUGAGGAACGAAAGCCAGGGGAGCGAAAGGGAUUAGAUACCCCUGUAGUCCUGGCCGUAAACGAUGGAUACUAGGUGUAGGAGGAUUCGACCCCUUCUGUGCCGUAGCUAACGCGAUAAGUAUCCCGCCUGGGGAGUACGACCGCAAGGUUGAA
This 376-nucleotide ribosomal RNA is filed under the name uncultured bacterium. RNAcentral describes it as "bacterial SSU rRNA". It matches the Rfam family "Bacterial small subunit ribosomal RNA", at positions 524 to 898 of the family's 1533-position model. The record is from RNAcentral.